This is a non-coding RNA of Schistosoma margrebowiei, 45 nucleotides long. The record is from Rfam. NCBI's taxonomy places the organism in Eukaryota, Metazoa, Platyhelminthes, Trematoda, Strigeidida, Schistosomatidae.
GUUCGACUGACGAGUCUUGAAUAGGACGAAACGUGCGUCCUAGAU